Molecule: ribosomal RNA, 1380 nt
Filed under: uncultured prokaryote
Description: partial 16S ribosomal RNA
Rfam family: Bacterial small subunit ribosomal RNA
Source: RNAcentral
GAGUUUGAUCCUGGCUCAGAUUGAACGUUGGCGGCAGGCUUUACCCAUGCAAGUCGAACGAGAAAGCACCUUCGGGCGUGAGUAAAGUGGCGGACGGGGGAGUAACGCGUAGGAAUCUACCCAGUAGCGGGGGAUAGCCCGAGGAAACUCGGAUUAAUACCGCAUACGCCCCACGGGGGAAAGGCCGGCUUCUUGAAAGCUCUCACUAUUGGAGGAGCCUGCGUUGGAUUAGCUAGUUGGUGAGGUAAAGGCUCACCAAGGCGACGAUCCAUAGCUGGUCUGAGAGGACGAUCAGCCACACUGGAACUGAGACACGGUCCAGACUCCUACGGGAGGCAGCAGUAGGGAAUAUUGUGCAAUGGGGGAAACCCUGACACAGCCAUGCCGCGUGUGUGAAGAAGGCCUUAGGGUUGUAAAGCACUUUCAGUUGUGAGGAAUAGGCCGGGUUAAAUACCCUGGUUGAAUGACGUUAGCAACAGAAGAAGUACCGGCUAACUCCGUGCCAGCAGCCGCGGUAAUACGGAGGGUACAAACGUUAAUCGGAAUUACUGGGCGUAAAGCGCGCGUAGGUGGUUUGUUAAGUGGGAUGUGAAAGCCCCGGGCUCAACCUGGGAACUGCAUUCCAAACUGACGAACUAGAGUACGAUAGAGGGGGGUAAAUUCAACGAUGAGAACUAGCCGUUGGGCCCCUUGAGGGUUUAGUGGCGCAGCUAACGCGAUAAGUUCUCCGCCUGGGGAGUACGGCCGCAAGGUUAAAACUCAAAUGAAUUGACGGGGGCCCGCACAAGCGGUGGAGCAUGUUGUUUAAUUCGAUGCAACGCGAAGAACCUUACCAUCCCUUGACAUCCACGGAACUUUCUAGAGAUAGAUUGGUGCCUUCGGGAACCGUGUGACAGGUGCUGCAUGGCUGUCGUCAGCUCGUGUCGUGAGAUGUUGGGUUAAGUCCCGUAACGAGCGCAACCCUUAUCCUUAUUUGCCAGCGGAUUAUGCCGGGAACUCUAAGGAGACUGCCGGUGACAAACCGGAGGAAGGCGGGGACGAGGUCAAGUCAUCAUGGCCCUCACGGGAUGGGCUACAAACGUGCUACAAUGGGCAGUACAAAGGGCAGCAAUCCUGCGAAGGGGAGCGAAUCCCAAAAAACUGUUCGUAGUCCGGAUAGGAGUCUGCAACUCGACUCCUUGAAGUUGGAAUCGCUAGUAAUCGCGAAUCAGAAUGUCGCGGUGAAUACGUUCCCGGGCCUUGUACACACCGCCCGUCACGUCAUGGAAGUGAGUUGCACCAGAAGUAGCUAGUCUAACCCUCGGGAAGACGGUUACCACGGUGUGAUUCAUGACUGGGACGAAGUCGUAACAAGGUAGCCGUAGGGGAACCUGCGGCUGG